RNAcentral lists this ribosomal RNA (301 nucleotides) under uncultured bacterium. RNAcentral describes it as "partial 16S ribosomal RNA". It matches the Rfam family "Bacterial small subunit ribosomal RNA", at positions 509 to 808 of the family's 1533-position model. The record is from RNAcentral.
CAGUCGCCACGGUAAUACGAAGGGUGCAAGCGUUAAUCGGAAUUACUGGGCGUAAAACGUGCGUAGGCGGUUUGUUAAGUCUGCUGUGAAAUCCCCGGGCUCAACCUGGGAAUGGCAGUGGAUACUGGCAAGCUAGAGUGUGUCAGAGGAUGGUGGAAUUCCCGGUGUAGCGGUGAAAUGCGUAGAGAUCGGGAGGAACAUCAGUGGCGAAGGCGGCCAUCUGGGACAACACUGACGCUGAGGCACGAAAGCGUGGGGGGCAAACAGGAUUAGAUACCCCAGUAGUCCCUGUCUCUUAACA